Molecule: ribosomal RNA, 509 nt
Filed under: uncultured bacterium
Lineage: Bacteria
Description: partial 16S ribosomal RNA
Rfam family: Bacterial small subunit ribosomal RNA
Source: RNAcentral
GAUGAACGCUAGCUACAGGCUUAACACAUGCAAGGCGAGGGGAAACGAUAUUGGAAGCUUGCUUCCGAUAGGCGUCGACCGGCGCACGGGUGAGUAACGCGUAUCCAACCUGCCCACCACUUGGGGAUAACCUUGCGAAAGUAAGACUAAUACCCAAUGACGUCUCUAGAAGACAUCUGAAAGAGAUUAAAGAUUUAUCGGUGAUGUAUGGGGAUGCGCCUGAUUAGCUUGUUGGCGGGGUAACGGCCCACCAAGGCGACGAUCAGUAGGGGUUCUGAGUGGAAGGUCCCCCACAUUGGAACCGAGACACGGUCCAAAAUCCUACGGGAGGCAGCAGUGAGGAAUAUUGGUCAAUGGGCGAGAGCCUGAACCAGCCAAGUAGCGUGCAGGAUGACGGCCCUAUGGGUUGUAAACUGCUUUUAUAAGGGAAUAAAGUGAGUCUCGUGAGACUUUUUGCAUGUACCUUAUGAAUAAGGACCGGCUAAUUCCGUGCCAGCAGCCGCCGGUAA